RNAcentral lists this long non-coding RNA (723 nucleotides) under Homo sapiens (human). RNAcentral describes it as "HSALNT0360748". The record is from RNAcentral. Lineage: Eukaryota; Metazoa; Chordata; Mammalia; Primates; Hominidae.
CUUGAAUCUGCACGGCGGUGACUGUGGGUUUUAAAGGGACAGUGAGGGGUGGGGGUCCGCUGGGGGCGCAUCUGGGUGUCCUCACCCUCUGCUGGAAUCUGUAAAUUAUUGGUCCAGCUUAUCUGUCCAUCUUAUAAUAAAUGACAUCUCCAUACCCUGCCAUGGCCUUGGGGUGGGUGCAGUGCACCUCACCAUCCUGGGACUGGCUUGCCGUGUGGUUUGUUUGGCCAAUGGGGUGUCAGGUGGGAGGGAGCAGAGAGGCCCAACUGGAGAGUGGGAUGGAACACGGUGAGGCCUGACUGGUCAAAGGGAUGUUGGGGGGAUGCCAGCGAAGUGGGCCCUGGAUGUCCUCCCACAGCUACCGUCUUGCACCUUUGCAUGUUCAUGGGAGGCACAUGGUGACCUGCUUGUCACAGAAGAAUGAGACACCCAUAGAAUAGAUGCAAGCUGCAUCUGUGGCCCAGAGCCAAGACUGACCAAGCCCAGCCAAGCCCAGCCAAGCCCAGCCCACCUGCAGAGUAAGAGUGCUUUUGCUUAAAUGCAUGAUCCCGCGGGGCACAUUUUGGCACCUGUGUCCUGGUGCACGCCUCCAUCUGCUUCUCUACUGGAGUCCAAAGGGGGAAUUGUGGGGCUGUUGCACUUGAGAAUUCAACCCUGCACAGGAGUCCCCAGAUGCUCCCAAGAUAUUGACGAACACCCUCUCACAGCAGCGGGUUCCGUGGG